UGAAUCUCUUCUAAUCCAUUCUUCUACCGCAACCCUCCCAAAACCAUCUACAUUCGAAUCCAUGUAUCUACUCGAUUGCUGACGGAUCAAUUAUCAAGCAACGAUCAGAGCAUUCGUUCUCAAGGAAAGCAUUUGUUCUCCAGGUCUUCACUCCAAUAGCACCACUAAGCCAUCAGGCUGGAUAUUUCUACAAUGUCUAUGAUUGUGUAUUGUAAGAUUCAGUAAAUUACUUGGAUCAUAUCAAUAGAAAGAAACUUAUGUACAACCCAACCAGCC
Molecule: long non-coding RNA, 276 nt
Organism: Impatiens glandulifera
Lineage: Eukaryota; Viridiplantae; Streptophyta; Magnoliopsida; Ericales; Balsaminaceae
Exons: 3
Source: RefSeq, a predicted model, not a curated record